CCUACGGGAGGCAGCAGUGAGGAAUAUUGGUCAAUGGACGAGAGUCUGAACCAGCCAAGUAGCGUGAAGGAUGACUGCCCUAUGGGUUGUAAACUUCUUUUAUAUGGGAAUAAAACGUUCCACGUGUGGGAUUUUGUAUGUACCAUAUGAAUAAGGAUCGGCUAACUCCGUGCCAGCAGCCGCGGUAAUACGGAGGAUCCGAGCGUUAUCCGGAUUUAUUGGGUGUAAAGGGAGCGUAGGUGGAUUGUUAAGUCAGUGGUGAAAGUUUGCGGCUCAACCGUAAAAUUGCAGUUGAAACUGGCAGUCUUGAGGACAGUAGAGGUGGGCGGAAUUCGUGGUGUAGCGGUGAAAUGCUUAGAUAUCACGAAGAACUCCGAUUGCGAAGGCAGUUCACUGGACUGCAACUGACACUGAGGCUCGAAAGUGUGGGUAUCAAACAGGAUUAGAUACCCCAGUAGUC
Molecule: ribosomal RNA, 460 nt
Filed under: uncultured bacterium
Lineage: Bacteria
Description: partial 16S ribosomal RNA
Rfam family: Bacterial small subunit ribosomal RNA
Source: RNAcentral